This 492-nucleotide ribosomal RNA is filed under the name uncultured bacterium. RNAcentral's name for it is "partial 16S ribosomal RNA". It matches the Rfam family "Bacterial small subunit ribosomal RNA", at positions 29 to 507 of the family's 1533-position model. The record is from RNAcentral.
AGUGAACGCUGGCGGUAGGCCUAACACAUGCAAGUCGAACGGCAGCACAGUAAGAGCUUGCUCUUACGGGUGGCGAGUGGCGGACGGGUGAGGAAUACAUCGGAAUCUACUUUUUCGUGGGGGAUAACGUAGGGAAACUUACGCUAAUACCGCAUACGACCUACGGGUGAAAGCAGGGGAUCUUCGGACCUUGCGCGAUUGAAUGAGCCGAUGUCGGAUUAGCUAGUUGGCGGGGCAAAGGCCCACCAAGGCGACGAUCCGUAGCUGGUCUGAGAGGAUGAUCAGCCACACUGGAACUGAGACACGGUCCAGACUCCUACGGGAGGCAGCAGUGGAGAAUAUUGGACAAUGGGCGCAAGCCUGAUCCAGCCAUACCGCGUGGGUGAAGAAGGCCUUCGGGUUGUAAAGCCCUUUUGUUGGGAAAGAAAAGCAGCAGGUUAAUACCCCGCUGUUCUGACGGUACCCAAAGAAUAAGCACCGGCUAACUUCGUG